UUUUACAGCGGAUGGUGGAUGCCUUGGGAGAUUGAGGCGAUGAAGGACGUGGCGUGCCUGCGAUAAGCCUCGGGGAGGUGGUUAGCAACCUUUGAUCCGGGGAUUUCCAAAUGGGGAAACCCGUUCCGAUGAUAAAUCGGAACACCCGACCCGAAAGGGUAAGGGGGCAAACCUGGGGAAGUGAAACAUCUCAGUACCCAGAGGAAUAGAGAAAAAAUUUUUACCCUUCAACAAGUUCAGGGUAAUCCUGAGCCUGCCGAAGGAUUAUUUCCUUAGUAGCGGCGAGCGAAAAGGAAAAAGCCCAAACCUACCAGUGCUUCGCACUGGAAAUUCCAAUUUCCAAAUCCCAAAUCACAAACAAAUCUUAAAUUCUAAAUUCCAAAUUCUAAACACGUUUUGGUUAUUAGAAUUUUGGUCAUUAGAUAUUGUUUGUAAUUUGGUGCUUGGUGCUUGGAGCUUCCACUGCGGAGCAGUGGUGGGGGUUGUAAGGAAAUGUCGUCGGGAGCUGACCGAAGCACAUAACGUUUUAUGUGCCUGGUCGGUUUCUGAGGGAGAACACCUAGAUAAGGGUUAGUUAGAAGAAAUACCCUGGAAAGGGAUACCAAAGAGGGUAAUAGUCCCGUAUUCGAAAACUCCUUUAUGCUCCUUGAUAUUUUUCUUGAGUACCAUGAGGACAAGAUAACCUUGUGGGAAGCNNNNNNNNNNNNNNGAACCAGUACCGUGAGGGAAAGGUGAAAAGUAGGGAGGUGAUCCCGGUGAAAUAGAACCUGAAACCAUCACGCUUACAAAGAGUCGGAGCCCCGCUUCGGCGGGGUGACGGCGUGCUUUUUGCAGAACGAACCAACGAGUUUCCCGUACCACUCUGUCUAAGCUCCUUUGGAGUGGAGGCAAAGUGAAAGCGAGCGUGAAUAGCGCAAACUAAAAAGUGGUACAGGAAGACCCGAAGCCAGGCGAGCUUGCCAUGGCCAGGGUGAAUCCCGGAGAAAUCCGGGAGGAGGCCCGAACCCGUGAGCCGUUCAACACUCUGGGAUGAGCUGUGGUAAGAAGUGAAAAGCUAAACGAGCCUGGUAAUAGCUGGUUCUCCCCGAAAUAGCUUUAGGGCUAGCCCCGUUAUUUGAUUUUCUGGAGGUAGAGCACUGGAAGGAAUAUCGUGGCUUUUGCUAGAUAUUCCUACCAAACUCCGAAUGCCAGAAAAUUUCGACGGGAGUCAGACUCCGGAGGCUAAGCCCCGGGGUCAAAAGGGAAACAGCCCAAAUCUUCAUCUAAGGUCCCUAAACUGAGCUAAGUGUUUUAAAGGAAGUGGGAUUCCAAUGAUAGUUAGGAGGUUAGCUUAGAAGCAGCUACCCUUUAAAAAGUGCGUAA
RNAcentral lists this ribosomal RNA (1362 nucleotides) under Candidatus Nealsonbacteria bacterium CG23_combo_of_CG06-09_8_20_14_all_39_25. Its description in RNAcentral is "bacterial LSU rRNA". It matches the Rfam family "Bacterial large subunit ribosomal RNA", at positions 1 to 1137 of the family's 2925-position model. Lineage: Bacteria; Candidatus Nealsoniibacteriota. The record is from RNAcentral.